Molecule: regulatory RNA element, 141 nt
Organism: Vagococcus lutrae LBD1
Lineage: Bacteria; Bacillati; Bacillota; Bacilli; Lactobacillales; Enterococcaceae
Rfam family: PyrR binding site
About the family: This family represents the PyrR binding site and terminator structure. This RNA structure is found upstream of a variety of genes involved in pyrimidine biosynthesis and transport.
Source: Rfam
AAAUCCUUUAAAGUGGUCCUGUGAGGCUAACAAGGAAAGACACGACACGAUUAGUUUGUACCUUAGAAAUACUCUAAGUAUGCACUAUUUUCAAUGUUUAAACGUCCAUCCUACUUCACAGCGAAGUAGGAUUUUUUUAUU